This 253-nucleotide ribosomal RNA is filed under the name uncultured bacterium. RNAcentral's name for it is "partial 16S ribosomal RNA". It matches the Rfam family "Bacterial small subunit ribosomal RNA", at positions 524 to 776 of the family's 1533-position model. The record is from RNAcentral.
UACGUAGGGUGCAGGCGUUAAUCGGAAUUACUGGGCGUAAAGCGUGCGCAGGCGGUUUCUUAAGUCAGAUGUGAAAGCCCCGGGCUUAACCUGGGAACUGCGUUUGAAACUGGGAGACUUGAGUGUGGCAGAGGGGGGUGGAAUUCCACGUGUAGCAGUGAAAUGCGUAGAUAUCAGGAGGAAUACCGAUGGCGAAGGCAGGUCUCUGGGCUGACACUGACGCUCAUGCACGAAAGCGUGGGGAGCAAACAGG